Molecule: long non-coding RNA, 654 nt
Filed under: Salarias fasciatus (jewelled blenny)
Lineage: Eukaryota; Metazoa; Chordata; Actinopteri; Blenniiformes; Blenniidae
Description: lncRNA (ENSSFAG00005000943.1)
Source: RNAcentral
AUUAAAGACUACAGUGACAUAACAUCAGACAGUCUGAGAGUUGCAGCAGAUUGCUCUCUGAUUCUGAAGAAAGUCACAGAAAAGCAAGUUGGUCAUUAUUAUUGUGAUCAAUUCAAAUCAGACAGUUCAAAGCAACCCGUUCUAGUUAGCUGGUCUUUCGUGGAUCUGUCUAUCGUCAACAGUGAGUAUUUAUAAGCUGGUUGAACCUUCACAACAGUCGUGACCACAGAAAAAUGUCUAAUUUGUCUCAUUGUGUUGUUUUUUCUUUCAGUCGUGACUGAACAUGAAUCCGAUGACGAGGAGACACUGAAAUGCUUCGUGACGUCUAUACAGGAAAACUGUGAAAUGGAAGUGAAGUGGACGAUCAAAGAUCAAGAUAUUGAUGAAGUCAACAGUCAGAUAAAGACAGAAAAGAAUGGAUGUUCUGCCACUGUGACUCUUAAAAAGUCACAUUAUCUUCACCCACAAACACACUUCCUGAGCUGUGAAGUGACUGACAACAGAACAGGAGAAACGUUUCGUUUCAGUCCUCGACCCUCAGGUGACACGAAAUCAACAAUGAAACCAGAAAGCUUCACAAAAUCAGCUGGAACUGAAACCAAUGGAGCUUCAGCAGAUCCACAAGGUAACGACUCCAUUUACUGUAUCAGUUAA